RNAcentral lists this ribosomal RNA (806 nucleotides) under uncultured bacterium. RNAcentral describes it as "bacterial SSU rRNA". It matches the Rfam family "Bacterial small subunit ribosomal RNA", at positions 59 to 862 of the family's 1533-position model. The record is from RNAcentral.
CAGUCGAGGGGCAGCACAGGUAGCAAUACCGGGUGGCGACCGGCGCACGGGUGAGUAACGCGUAUGCAACUUACCUAUCAGAGGGGGAUAACCCGGCGAAAGUCGGACUAAUACCGCAUGAAGCAGGGGCCCCGCAUGGGGAUAUUUGCUAAAGAUUCAUCGCUGAUAGAUAGGCAUGCGUUCCAUUAGGCAGUUGGCGGGGUAACGGCCCACCAAACCGACGAUGGAUAGGGGUUCUGAGAGGAAGGUCCCCCACAUUGGUACUGAGACACGGACCAAACUCCUACGGGAGGCAGCAGUGAGGAAUAUUGGUCAAUGGCCGAGAGGCUGAACCAGCCAAGUCGCGUGAGGGAUGAAGGUUCUAUGGAUCGUAAACCUCUUUUAUAAGGGAAUAAAGUGCGGGACGUGUCCCGUUUUGUAUGUACCUUAUGAAUAAGGAUCGGCUAACUCCGUGCCAGCAGCCGCGGUAAUACGGAGGAUCCGAGCGUUAUCCGGAUUUAUUGGGUUUAAAGGGUGCGUAGGCGGCCUUUUAAGUCAGCGGUGAAAGUCUGUGGCUCAACCAUAGAAUUGCCGUUGAAACUGGGGGGCUUGAGUAUGUUUGAGGCAGGCGGAAUGCGUGGUGUAGCGGUGAAAUGCAUAGAUAUCACGCAGAACCCCGAUUGCGAAGGCAGCCUGCCAAGCCAUUACUGACGCUGAUGCACGAAAGCGUGGGGAUCAAACAGGAUUAGAUACCCUGGUAGUCCACGCAGUAAACGAUGAUCACUAGCUGUUUGCGAUACACUGUAAGCGGCACAGCGAAAGCGUUA